RNAcentral lists this ribosomal RNA (484 nucleotides) under uncultured bacterium. Its description in RNAcentral is "partial 16S ribosomal RNA". It matches the Rfam family "Bacterial small subunit ribosomal RNA", at positions 30 to 507 of the family's 1533-position model. The record is from RNAcentral.
AUUGAACGCUGGCGGCAUGCUUUACACAUGCAAGUCGAACGGUAACAGGGAGCUUGCUCCGCUGACGAGUGGCGAACGGGUGAGUAAUAUAUCGGAACGUACCCAAGAGUGGGGGAUAACGUAGCGAAAGUUACGCUAAUACCGCAUACGAUCUAAGGAUGAAAGCAGGGGACCUUCGGUCCUUUUGCUCCUGUAGCGGCCGAUAUCUGAUUAGCUAGUUGGUGAGGUAAAGGCUCACCAAGGCGACGAUCAGUAGCUGGUCUGAGAGGACGACCAGCCACACUGGAACUGAGACACGGUCCAGACUCCUACGGGAGGCAGCAGUGGGGAAUUUUGGACAAUGGGCGCAAGCCUGAUCCAGCAAUGCCGCGUGAGUGAAGAAGGCCUUCGGGUUGUAAAGCUCUUUUGUCAGGGAAGAAAAGGGAUUGGCUAAUAUCCAGACCUAAUGACGGUACCUGAAGAAUAAGCACCGGCUAACUACGUG